Long non-coding RNA from Diorhabda carinulata, 6070 nucleotides. RefSeq lists it as uncharacterized. NCBI's taxonomy places the organism in Eukaryota, Metazoa, Arthropoda, Insecta, Coleoptera, Chrysomelidae. The record is from RefSeq and is a predicted model, not a curated record. The transcript has 3 exons.
AGUAUUACAAAUUCGGGCAGACAUAUUUGAUGCUAAAUUUUCUAUUCGUAAAAUUUCGUGUAAUUUUGUUUUCGAUUGUGAAGUGAAAACUAUUUUCUUAUUGAUAUAGGUAAGAUAUAAUUCUCUUUAUGUAAAAAUUAACGAAAUAUGUCCAAUUAAAGUUUCCAGGAAAAUGAACGAAUUCAGUGUAUUACAUUUUAUGGAAUGCUAAGGUUUUAUAAUUUUUUUUUAAUAUUUUCAAAGUAAUGAAAAUUAAGCAUUUUCUUCAGAUAAUUUGGAAUUGUGUGAAUUAUUGAUUUACUUAUAAACAUUAAACAAACGAUAAUCUAAAAUAUAGCAUCAAAAAGUUCGUUUAUCUUUGUCUGUCUGGACAGCAUGUCGGCCAUCUUUGUAGGUCGACUCAAUUAUUGUUCACGUCAAAUCUUUUCAACUGUAAUGUGUUUUUUCAUAUAAAAAUAUAUAUAGAUAUUAAUAUUAAAACACCUUAUAUCGAUUGUAAUACAAAAUAGUUAUUAUUAGAUAAAUAAAAUACAGAGAUAUCGGAUCUGUUUAAUAACGACAAAAAAAUCUUUCGAUUUCUAGUUUUAAAAAUGUGACUAAUGUUGAAAAUUUUCAAUGGAAACUUUGGAAAUUUUCAGUAUAUCGAUAGAAAAUAGUUUUUAAUUUAAAAUUUUCGUGAAACGGAUUGAAAAUAAACAUUAAAAGAAUUUUCCGUGCUUCAAUACAAUAUUGUGUGGUGAAAAUCAUGGAUACCCAGAAAAUUUUUAACUACCAAGAUAGUCAUUUCCUCAUUUGUGAACUGGUGUUGGUGCGCGAUUCCACGCGAAAUUUUAACACGUUAACGAAACAAAAGGUAAAUGUAGUGCACGUUCCAUAAUGCGGUUUGCCAAAAAGUAGUUGAUUGUUGGAUAAAUAACAAAAAAAAUGGUUUUCCAUUUUUCAUAACAAAUAUUUCAAACGACAUAUUUUACGUUUCUACUUGGUACUGCUAGAUAAUUCAAUUCAUUUAAACGUACGAUGAAAUUUUCCAAUAUUUUAAAUCAAAUAAAUUUUUCUCCAUCCAUUAUUCCAAAAUAUAUGCUGAUAAAUUGAUAUUUUUCCCAAAAAUUGAAUGUAACACAAUUUCAAUAUGAUAUACGAGGAAUAUCCACUAAGAAAGUUCCAUUUGGUUAUAAAAAAACAUACGAGCAGGUCAAAAAACAUAUUUUUCAUGCUGUUAACCUAAUUUUCUAUGUAGUUUCGAAAAUUUUUUAAACACUUGUUUUUGUAUGCCUCCUCCAUGUUCUUCCGGCUCGUUUCAACUUUUAGCGAGAGAUUUCAGGUAUAAAAAGAGAUGAAAGUCGGUAGGAGUGAGGUCCGAGCUAUACGGAGGAUGAUCAAACACACCCCAGCCAAAUUCUUGGAGCGGUUUUUUUGUCACGUCACAGUGGGAGAUGGGGCAUUAUCGUGAAAAAAAACAAAAACCAUUUGACAGUAAUCCUCGGAGUUUGCCCUGUUUCUUAAUUUCCACGCAUGUGCCUAAAUCAAACGGCAAAACGUCGGAGCAAACGGUGGAAAUGAGUUGUCGAGGUGUCGAAAUUUGCUUAGGGGUAUCGUAAGAUACCAAAAUUUCAUCCCCUAUGACUAUUCGAAAUAUAGGUUAGAAAAGGAACUUAAAUUGUGGAUGUACCUCGUAUGAAGGAAAUACUAAAAUCAAUUAUUAAAACUUUUUAUUCAAAUUUUUCUGAAAUUUUCGGUCCGAAUUAUUGCAUCAAAUUUUGAUUGAAAUGAUUUUUUUUGUUAUUUAUUGAGUGAGCAGAACUUUGAUCAGAUGUUGUUGGUUUUUGUGUUUUUUGGAAUCCUAAGAAUAUUUUGUUGAGAUUAAUACAGUUACAGAUUUAAUUAUUGAAGAAAAAUAGAUUGAAUUUAUUUUUGAAUAACUUUUUUAACAUUCAGAAAGUUUUAACAAAUAUCCAAAUUUCGACUACUCCCUUACAUUCAAACAGAAGAUUGUUAAUAUUUAUGACUAAAACUAAUUUUUCUCAUUAUAUGAUACUGAUCAAAUAAAAUCUUGACGUUGUUAUUUUGGAUUGAUCAAUUCUUUUCAGCGUUUACUGUAACACAUUUAAGUCCAGUAAAUAUUUGAUGAAUAAUUAUGAUGAUAAUCAUAUGAUAGAAUUGCUCGAAUACACCUCAAAUUCACUUUGAUUCGAAAUAGUAGUACAUGGAUCCUUCUGAUCAAUAUAAAUGAUAAUUAGAUAAUUAAGUAACUUGAAGAUGUGAUUUCCAUUCAAAUGACUUUCCGAGUAAUCUGUUGAGAUUUUCCUGAUCUUUGAGAACAAAUCUGUUGGGUUAAUGAGAUGAUUGUGUGAUGAAUGUCAUAAAUGAGGUAGGCAACCGCCGCGAUAUGGAAAAGUGAUUCGUAAUUUUCGGUAUCGAUUUCGCUGUGUCGCGAAUCGGUUUUAAGUGAUGGAUAUCAUGGAAAUGGAAAAUGGAUAUGGAGGCUUUCCUAUGUGGACAAAGUUAUGUGUUUGUGCGCGAUUCGACGCAAAAUUUUAACCCGUUAACGAAACGAAAAAUAUAUAGUGUGCGAAUCGAUAAAGCGGUUUGCCAAAAGGAAGGUGAUUGUUGAAUAAAUAACAAUAAAACAUAUUUCUUCAAUUUUUGUAACAAAUAUGUAUUUUAAAUUACAAAUAUAUGUGUUUCUAAAAUGGAAAUGCUGCUGCAUGGGGAAUAUAUGAAUACAUGUAAAAUUCUAUUUUCUAUUAUCGUUUUUCUGUGUCACGUUUCUUUCCAAAACUUAACCUGUCUGAAAAAAAAAUUUUUUAUGUAAUAAAUUUUUUACAAAUUAAAUUUACAAAUAUAAAAAAAAUUAUAGAUAUCUGGAGAAUAAUAUUCGUAUGAAUUUGUCUUUUUAUGUUUGUUUUUUUCAGUUAAGUAAAUUGAAAGUAUGUGUGUGAUAAUUAUUGUAUCUUGUAUGCGUGUGUAAAAAAUUCCGUUUUGCAAUCUUCAUAUCGAUGGCUACUUCAUUUGUUAUAAAUUUUCGUUUUUCUCUCCCAAACUGGACCUGAAAUUUAAAAAUAUAAAAUGUUGUAAACUUCGAAUAUGUGAAGUACUUUGAUAAUAAUUGAAUGAUAAAAUAAUUAUACCCUGUUUUGUUCUUAUGCAGAAAUUGAUAAAAUUGAAUUCUUCGAGAUGAAAAUUACAUUUUUUUAAUAAUAAUUCGAAAAAAAAAAACAUAUUUUCUGGACAUUUUAUUUUAUAAUCGACUGUGAACAAUUUAUUCAAACGUUAAUUGUUUCUAAGUCAUAUCAACCCUUAAAAAAAGAAAACUGCAUCUGUUUCUUUUUUAAUUUUGAAUGUUUUCUGCUCAAGUUAGUUAAAUUAAAUGGAAAAUUUUUUCAAACGUAAAUUAUUUCUAAUAUAUAUCAAUCAUUUAAAAAAAACACUGAAUCUGUUUAUUUUUAAUAUUCUCUGAUCAAGUUAAUAGAAGAAAGUAUGUAUGUAAUAAUGAUAAAUACCUUUUACGGAAUGGAAAUUUUCCAAAGUCCAUCAAAUAGGAAGCAAACUUGUGUGAAAAAUCAAGUUUUCCAAUCUUCAUAUCGACAGCUAUUUCAUUUGUUAUAAAUUUUCGUCUUUCUUUCCCAAACUGGACCUGAAAUUUAAAAAUAUAAAAUAUUGUAAAUUUCGGAUCUGUGGAUUACUUUGAUAAUUGAUUGAUAAAAUUAUUAUACACUGUUUUGUUCUUAUGCAGAAAUUUAUAAAAUUAAAUUUUUCGAAACUAAAAUUCCAUAUUUUUAAUAAUAAUUUGAAAAAAAAAUCAUUUUCUGGACUAUUUUAUUAAUUGAGCCACUUGGAAAAAUUUUUCAAAGUUAUUAUACAUCGUUGUUUUCUAAAACAAAUUUUCAUAAAAUUGAAUUUUUCUAAACUAAAAUUCCAUAUUUUUAAUAAUCAUUUGAAAAAAAAAUCAUUCUUUGGACUAUUUUAUCAUAUAAGCGACUUGGGAAAAUUUUUCAAAGUUAUUAUACAUUGUUUUUUACUAGAACAAAUUUUUAUAAAAUUGAAUUUUUCGAAACUAAAAUUCCAUGUUUUUAAUAAUCAUUUGAAAAAAAAUCAUUUUCUGGACUAUUUUAUCAUAUAAGCGACUUGGAAAAAAUUUUGAAAAUUAUUAUACAUCGUUUUUUACUAGAACAAAUUUUUAUAAAAUUGAAUUUUUCGAAACUAAAAUUCCAUGUUUUUAAUAAUCAUUUGAAAAAAAAUCAUUUUCUGGACUAUUUUAUCAUAUAAGCGACUUGGAAAAAUUUUCAAAGUUAUACAUCGUUUUUUACUAAAACAAAUUUUUAUAAAAUUGAAUUUUUCGAAACUAAUAUUCCAUGUUUUUAAUAAUAAUUUGAAAAAAAAAUCAUUUUCUAGACUACAUAUUUUAUCAUAUAAACGACUUGGAAAAAUUUUUCAAAGUAAUCUUACAUGGUUUUUUUCUAAAACAAAUUUUUAUAAAAUUGAAUUUUUCGAAAGUAAAAUUCCAUUUCUUCAAUAAUCAUUUGAAAAAAAAAAUCAUUUUCUAGUCUAUUUUAUUAAUUAAGCCAUUUGGAAAAUAUUUUCAAACGUAAAUUAUUUCUAAUUUAUAUCAUUAAAAAACACUGCAUCUAUUCUUUUUUAAUAUUCUCUGGUGAAGUUAACAGAAGAAAGUAUGUAUGUAAUAAUAAUAAAUACCUUUCACGAAAUGGAAAUUUUCCAAAGUCCAUCAAAUAGGAAGCAAACUUGUGUAAAAAAUUAAGUUUCUCAAUCUUCAUUUGUAUAAAUGUUCAUCCUUCUUUUCCAUUAUCGACUUAAAAAUUUGAAAUUUGAAGAUAUAAAAUCAUGUGAUAAAUAUCUAACGUAAACUCCGAAACAUUUAAUUGAAUUAUAAAAUUAUUAUACACUGUUUUUUUUUCAAUGUAGAAUAUUAUAAAAUUAAAUUUUUGAAAGGUAGAAUAUUCUCUAUUAAUUUUUGGGACAAACGGUGUUGGUGUUCAUAAUUUUGAACCUUUCACCACAAAAAUACUAAGAAGAAUGAAAAAUGCCCCACCCCACAUGUUCUGGUCGCUUUGUUGGGAUUGGCUACAUCUUUCGAACCCUUGUUUCGAUUGGCCGAGAACAAAGUUGGGUGAAAGAAGAAGGGCCUCUGUUAUAAAAACGUCGUUUUCAUCCAUUGUAUGUCAUUACAUUAUAAAUUUUCGCGGCGCUUAAGCUUACGUUGUAACUUAUUCUAAAUCCUUUUGAAAAUUUUUGUGAAUUGUGAAGUGCAUCAUUUACAAAUGUAAGUAAUUUCUGUCUUUACUAUUUUCAUUUUUGUAUUAUUGAUGUUUAAUAUUUUUGUGAAUAUAAAAUUUAUUUCUCAAAUAAUAUUCUGGAUAUAUUUUUAUCUUUUGGACUUAUUUCAUUUUUUUAUUUCUGGAAUUGUGAUAUUUUAAAAUUGUUUUUUUUUUCUUUAAUUUUUUUUUCAAUCUUCAAUUAUUUUCUUAUAUUUAAAUUUCAAGUGCAAUUUUGUGGAUAAAUGUUAAAUUUUCACUGUAUAAUUAUUCCAGAUUUUCAAUUGUUAUUUUGAAAUUAGUUAUUCAUUGUUACUGUAUACUUUCAUACAUUUUAUUUCCCGUAGAAGAUCUUGUCAUCUUCGUUUUGAGUUCUUACAAUUUUUUUCAUUAUAAUAUCUGUAUGAAAUUUCUUAAGAAUACAUAUUUUCUAAACUAUCGUUAGAAUUUAUUAAAAUUUAUUAUUUUCUUGUAUCCAAAUCCAGAAGUAAAUUCACAAAUUCAAAAUUUCUCUUAAUUCAGAAAUUGUCUCAUAUUGCAUUUUUAAUAUAUUUUUUUUAUUUUUGAGAGGUGGUUGUUAUAGAAAUGUUCAAUUUGAUUUUUAUAGUUUUUUCCGUCCAAGAUUGAUUGGUAAAAAAUCCCUAUAUUGAGUUUAAUUUCUAUAGUUUCUAUUUUUUUUACUAAUGUUUAAAAUUUAUCUGAAUAUGAAUAAUUAGAAUGGUCGACAAAAAAAAUGUUUUUGAAGUAACACAAGAAUGAAUAGCAUAUUGUGAUAAAAUGGAAAAUAUGAAAAAAAUAAA